CAGGAGAUAGUUUAUAAAAAUAUUAAUUUUGGAGAUUAAAGUAGGGAUUACCCCUUUUCUGA
RNAcentral lists this transfer RNA (62 nucleotides) under Lucanus kanoi kanoi. Its description in RNAcentral is "tRNA-Pro". The record is from RNAcentral. Lineage: Eukaryota; Metazoa; Arthropoda; Insecta; Coleoptera; Lucanidae. RNAcentral also lists the same sequence under 1 other name.